Molecule: non-coding RNA, 333 nt
Organism: Pelobates cultripes (western spadefoot toad)
Lineage: Eukaryota; Metazoa; Chordata; Amphibia; Anura; Pelobatidae
Source: the annotation of a GenBank genome assembly
AUCCAUAUAUCCAACCAGGAGUGCCCUUUUCACUCAAUGCCAUGCCCUUUUCAAUAUUUUGCCUCUCAUACAAAAACUACCUCAAGAUUAAGCUGCACUGAAGUCACACUUUAAAAAGUGAAAUAAGGAAUGUAAUGGAAUAAGCAAUUAAUAAAAACAUGCACAUUUUCUACAUUGUGAUGCAUGUUGUGUGUGCUACUGCAAAAAUCCCUUGCAUUACACAGAUGCCUUCACUAGGGCACAAGAUAGGUUUACGUUAUACUACAGUGCACCCACAAAAACGCUUUGAGUGUCUUAACUAUAAAUACAUACAUCUUACACAUGAUCUGAAAG